AUAACAAUAUAUAUUAUCAAACAAAAAAGAAUUUUUACACGUCAACCAGUAUCUAUAUAACUCGAAUUUCACGCGGGACAGCAACAAACAAACAAAAAAAAGUCAACAUUUUUAUUUUUUAUUAACAGCCUUGAACAGCAUUCAAUACUUUGUUUAACGUUGAAUCGGAAAAUAAUGGACGAGUAUCUAGCAUUUGAUUUCCAAUAACAGUUACCGAAUUUUUCUUUUUCAAAAUUGUAAUAACACCAGUUUCCAUAUCGCAUAUCCAUUGGUCUCCUAAGUGAUUUUUACAAAAUAAAAAUAAAUCAUUAGAUUGAUCAAGUCGGAGUAAUCUUUUGGUGUCUUCAAAAGUGAUUGUCUGGUGUUUCUGCAAGCCUGUGCAAAUAUUCGUCGGAUUCCAGGAGUUCCCAGAACGAAAGAAAUCGGCACUUUUGUAAUAACCCUUCAAUUUCUAUUAAGGACCUUAAAAUAGAAUCUUCCGUUUGAUACUGUAAAGGUAUUUGACAAAGACACAGAUCAAAGUCAUUUGACGGUAAAUGCAUCAGUGCUUGAAUCAAAAUAUUUUGAAUUAUGUGACACUUUGAUUCUUUUUUGAACAUUAAAUAAUGUUUCAAAACCAAAAGAUUUGCAUCAAGAUUGUAGAGUUCUGGAUGACACAUUUCAAGACAUACGAAAUUCUCCAGAACGUCAAUAACACUAGGAUCCUGGUACAAAGUACAAGUUUCAACUAUUUUCUUUACAAGUUUUUCUUGAUCUAUCAAAGAACUGGAAAAACUCAUAUUGCCACUAUGAUUUAUAUUAGAAGUCAUUUCUGAACAAAAAAACUUACGGCAAUAAAGGAAUUUUUACGUUAGAAAAAAAGAACUUUGAAAUGUCUGCGCCUUCUGACCCAGUCAAUAUUCAUUUCUUAAAGCAUUCGACAUCGAAAUAAUUUGAUUAAACCAUUUCACUAAUUCAAUUUUUCUUUCCAGAGAAAAUCUAUUUUUUUAUAUAAACUAUAAAAAUUUUAGAAAAUAUCAAGAAUUUAAAUAGCUUUUAUUAUAACAUGUUUUUUAAUUCGAUCGUUUAUAAAAGUGUUAGACGUUAUGUCAAAAGAAACAAAAGCUUUCGACAUUAUUAUGAUUUUUGUCUUAUGAUGCAUCUUAUUUCCAGUCUUCGUUCAUCAAGUAACGCUAUCACAUUACUUUGAUGCUAUUGUACCUUUAAUCUAACACC
Long non-coding RNA from Hylaeus volcanicus, 1215 nucleotides. RefSeq lists it as uncharacterized. NCBI's taxonomy places the organism in Eukaryota, Metazoa, Arthropoda, Insecta, Hymenoptera, Colletidae. The transcript is spliced from 2 exons. The record is from RefSeq and is a predicted model, not a curated record.